This 485-nucleotide ribosomal RNA is filed under the name Cryptosporidium parvum. RNAcentral's name for it is "SSU rRNA". It matches the Rfam family "Eukaryotic small subunit ribosomal RNA", at positions 560 to 1071 of the family's 1831-position model. Lineage: Eukaryota; Apicomplexa; Conoidasida; Eucoccidiorida; Cryptosporidiidae. The record is from RNAcentral.
UCUGGUGCCAGCAGCCGCGGUAAUUCCAGCUCCAAUAGCGUAUAUUAAAGUUGUUGCAGUUAAAAAGCUCGUAGUUGGAUUUCUGUUAAUAAUUUAUAUAAAAUAUUUUGAUGAAUAUUUAUAUAAUAUUAACAUAAUUCAUAUUACUAUAUAUUUUAGUAUAUGAAAUUUUACUUUGAGAAAAUUAGAGUGCUUAAAGCAGGCAUAUGCCUUGAAUACUCUAGCAUGGAAUAAUAUUAAAGAUUUUUAUCUUUCUUAUUGGUUCUAAGAUAAGAAUAAUGAUUAAUAGGGACAGUUGGGGGCAUUUGUAUUUAACAGUCAGAGGUGAAAUUCUUAGAUUUGUUAAAGACAAACUAAUGCGAAAGCAUUUGCCAAGGAUGUUUUCAUUAAUCAAGAACGAAAGUUAGGGGAUCGAAGACGAUCAGAUACCGUCGUAGUCUUAACCAUAAACUAUGCCAACUAGAGAUUGGAGGUUGUUCCUUACU